Molecule: ribosomal RNA, 528 nt
Filed under: Hymenolepis microstoma
Lineage: Eukaryota; Metazoa; Platyhelminthes; Cestoda; Cyclophyllidea; Hymenolepididae
Description: partial large subunit ribosomal RNA
Source: RNAcentral
AAGCUUCAGAUCUUACUUAUGAUUAUUUUGAAUUGAAUAGAUUUGAGUUAAGUUUUGGAAAUAAAUAAGUAUGUAGUGAAAAGUUAGUCGUUGAAGUUUAUAUCCGUUUGAUUACUCUAUUUUCAUUUAACAUCUAAGGUUAUGAUAUCUUAGGUGAGUUUACACUAGUAUAAUUAAAGGAUUUUAUAAUAAGGUUAAAAAUACUUUAUUUUAGUAAGUUUGUUAUAAUAUUUGUUGUUAUUAUGUAUGGUUAAUGUUUGUAGUAAUCUAUUGAAUAUUUAGUAUUUAACUAUUAUUAAAUGAGUAAUAUUAAUAUGUUGUGUUAUUUCUCAAGUUUUGUCCGUCUGUUUAUUAAAAACAUUUCUAAAUUUAAGUUUAUUUAGUAAUACCUGCCCCAUGCUUGUUGUAAAUGGCCGCAGUAUAUUGACUGUGCGAAGGUAGCAUAAUUAAUUGCCUUAUAAUUGAAGGCUUGUUUGAAUGGUUUGACGAGAUAAAUAUAAAUAUCACAUAUAUGUUUGAAAUUAAUUU